Molecule: microRNA precursor, 66 nt
Filed under: Xyrichtys novacula (pearly razorfish)
Lineage: Eukaryota; Metazoa; Chordata; Actinopteri; Labriformes; Labridae
Source: RNAcentral
UCCUCACAGAACCUCCAAACUCAGAAUUUACACACACUAAUUCUGAGUUUGGAGGUUCUGUGAGGA